UCCAUCCAUCCAUCCAUCCAUCCAUCCAUCCAUCCAUCCAUCCAUCCAUCCAUCCAUCCCUGCAGGGCUCUCUCUGCUGCACCUACAGGCUGAGGGCACAGAGCACUUGGUGUGGCACUGCAGAUCUUCCCCCUCCUUCCCUUCCUUGUUUCACAGUCCCUCUCUGCUGAGGCAGAGGUCUCUUUAUGGCUGGGAGAGUCUCACAGCUCUAAACUGCUCCUGUGUUUUCUGGGGACUUCACAAGUUCCCAGAGCAAUUUAAACUCGGUGUGGUAAAGGAGGCCUGAAAAGUUCCCUUCCUUUUCCUUACCUUUUAGGAAGUGGCAUCAAACUGUCCUUCCAAAAUGAGUCUGCAUUUAUGAUUCAGCGCUGUGCAGCAGCCCCAGGGCCAGCCCAGAUAAGCUGCUAUAAAUCAUUCAAAGCAGGGAGAUAACAACACUCCUAGUUAAGAUCCAGGUUUAUAUUAUGUAUGUUUAUAAAGCAUAAAUAGGUGUCUCUGACUGAGUACCAACAUCCCAGCCUAUUCUGAGAAGUCUUUUCUGUGACUUAUGUAGUCUUUGAUCAGUUUUUAGCAGUGUUCAGUGAACAACUUCAUGUUUACCUAUCUGAAGUUUUUAAAAAUUAUUUAUAAUUAAAGGAAAUCUAGUAUGUUGUAUCAAUAGGCUAGUGUCCUGCCAUUGUGGAAACACUACUUUAAAAUGCUGAAUAUUAUCUUAUGAAACUAUAAAGAGGUGGUUUAUGCUAUAACUGGUCCAAUUUAACUGAUACAAAAAGAUGCAGUCGUGCCAUCAGUUCCGCCUGUCCCUCUCUUUCCUCUAUUACAUUAUAUUUAGCACUAAUGCAAAAUAUGAAGUAGAAACAACUGGAAACUGAUGUUGCAACUCCCCCCAAGCACUGGUUUUCCAUCAGCUGAGUGAACUGAACUGGUUUAAUCUGUGUGAUGCACUGCAGGGGUCGGGGGAACAGGGAAGUCGUGUCUGCCCAUGGAAGUUUCCAGUUACCUGAGUUUGUGCAGUUACCCGUUUCUGCAGUUUGUGCACACUGGGCAAUCAUGCUCCGAGUCCCUGGCUGCCAGCAGGCUCUGAUCCCCACUCAGUGUGUGUUUUGGACUACUCUCUUUAAGAGGUGGAGUGCAAUUAGAGCAUCUUAGCUGGGUCUCUGCGUGGCCACGUUCCACCUCUCCAGAAACCCUGGCAGUGCUCUGAGCCUUUGUGAAGUAUUAGUGCUGGCAUUAGGAGCAAUUCCUGAUUUAUUAUUGUGUGUCACUUUAAUUAACAUGCUGUUUCACUCCCCCUUCCAGGCUGUUAAUGAAGAUGUUAAAUAAACAGGACCAAACAGUGAUCCCUGCAGAGCUGCACCAGACACCUCCCACCCGCUUGAUGCAUUGCCAUUUUUCAUUACCCUUUAUUUGCACUCAGCCAGCCAUUUUUAAAUCCAAGUGACAGUCCUCCAUGUCCAAGCCAAUUUGAAUUAAUUUUGCGAGCAGAGAUUUUGUAAGACACUACAUCAAGUGUUUUACUCAGACCAGAUAUAUUACACAUGCUUUCAUCCACUAAUUUUCUAAAGCUAUCAGAAAAAGCAAUCAAGCUUUGAAGAUUACUAGCACCCAGCCAGCUUUUUGCUGGUUUAUUCACUUACAAAACCAAUCUUGGCAUUAUUAAAGAUUUGCCACUCCUUCAGCUGAUGAGUGAUUUAAAACAAUGCAUCUUUCUAAUCCAUUACCUUCCCAAAAUAACACAGAGCCCUGAUUAUUCCUCCUAAGUGCUAUUUUAGGGCUCUGUGGUGUGUGAGUUUAAAUUGUGAUUGGCAGACAGAUAUUUUUCUUGAAAAGGAUCCGUGAUUUCAGCAGCUUAGCUUAUGUUUAUUUUACAUGCUUCCAGCUGUUAGCUUGUAUCAGCAGUUAUUCCUUAUUCCCAGUAUGGAAGCAAGCAGGUCCUGUGGCACCUCUUUAAUUAUAUCAGGGAAGGAACAUCAGACUGGCAGUACAGGUAAAAAAUACAGUCUGGCAGGAUUAGUCCUCACAAAACCAGAUUUAUUUCUUACACCAGAGGAACAUGCCAGUCAAAAUAAACUUUCUCUCCUUAUUUAAUAUAUCCCUUCCCUCUAUGUUUUAUGGCCUGCUCAUGCUAUAAAUUGUUAUACUUAAGACUUCUAGUCAGAAUUUGGGUUUUUUCCCCCUCUUUUGGCUUGUUCAUCCUUUAUUCUUCUGCCUUCCUAAAGCUGGAACCAUUUGUUCACCACCUAUUCCUUCCUGUGGUUGUGAAGGGCUGUGUUUGUUUUCCAGAUGUGGUUUGGGGCACAGGGAAAUGUGGUGCCUGCAAGUUUCUGCAGACUCUUCACUAAAAUUGGGAAGGUUUCAGGUUCUUUUCCCUCCUACUAAACUCUGUUUUUUCACAGCUGCCCCCACUGAAACACUUUCUCUUUUCUCUGCCAGUGUGAUUCAAAUACAGUUCUUGGUUAUUCCCUUACCUGGGGCUCAGCUCUGCCUCUGCUUUGUCAAUGGUGUUUUUACUGAAAUGAGUCCAAAAAGUUUCCUGCUACAUUUCUCUAAAUUUUUCAUGCUGUUAAGUCAGCUUGUUCAGGGUAAAAAUUUUCAAACUGGAAUGUCACCCUCACAAAAGUGCUGAGUGUUUUGCUGACUUCUGUGAGUUUAGGGGAUCCUACAAUGGAUGUUGAAUUGUUUAUUGAAUGUGGUUUUUCUUUAUUUCUUCACUCAAUUUUAUUUAUCAAAAUUAAUGGUCUCUUGAUUGAAGUCUUUCAGCUCCUAGUGGAGUGACUACAUCAGAAUACCCAGUGCUGAACUCCUUUGCAUGUGUGCAUGAAGGCAGAAAGCACAUUGAUUUUCCUCCCAAGGAUAAGGGAAACAAAGGUCAGAGCUGCUCACACUCUAAUUUAUGCAAGAUUAAUGCAGAGAAUACAGCAGAGUUCACUUAAUGAGGGUGAAACAUGCAGAUGGGUGAAGACGUAUCAUUUUCAGUUUUGAUUUCCCAGCUGAAAGAAUAUAAAAUAAUACAAUAAUGUAAAAUAUCUUUAAAAAGAAUUCCUGAUUUAGAGGUAAGAAGUAGUGUGCAAUCCUGUUUGAAGGUGGAAACAAGGAGCUCAGGCCUCAUUUCCCUCUGCUCAGCCUUUGGAAUAUCCUGCAUUUUCUGCUUCCACACUUGUGGAAAGCUGGGCACCGUUCUGUCAUUGGUGAGGCUGCCCUGGUGGGACGAUGCUGUCUCACAGAAAUAUUCCUGUGCUAAUGCUCUCGUGGCUGCUGGAGGAAAUCCAGAGGUUUGUGUUAAUCAGCGUCUGCAGUCCGUAAAAACAAAGAACUUGCUGAUGAACUCAGAAUGGUAAGAAAUGCCUGGUGUCUGCAGCAAAGCGCCUGGAGUGAAGAGUCCUCUCUCCACAGAUUGACCUUCUGGAGCUUCAAUUGUGCGUCUGCACUCACACCCAGCAGUGCUCUGCAGCUCAAGAUUGUGUUGCCAGCUGCCUUUAAGACUCCCUUUUAGUCUCUCUUUGCUUUGCAGAGCUUUUCCUUAGCACAGUGACAGAGCAGACAAGGCAAAGCACAGAGAGAAAAAGGAGCAUUGGUGUUACUGCAGCAGGAAAAAGCCACUGCCAGGGUCUGUGUGGAGCACUCCCAUUUGUACAGUCUGUGGUUGAGAAUGAAGCUCUGCUCUUUGGGAGGGAUUCAUUGUCCCUAAAUGGACAGGUAUGGAUUUACUGUGGGUUUGAGAGGCUAAAGUGAGUUUUGCUGCUGUGCAUUCACAGGUCUGGCUCUGUGUCUCCUCUUGCUUGGUGACCUGCCCCAAAUCCAGGUCCUGUUCUGUCACCUCCUUCUCACGUUAUUAUUGAUGGGCAACGGGCACACAAACGUUCAGCCAUAAUUUCUCUCCUUAAAACUGGAAUGGGGGCUUUGGAAAGAGCUUCAUUUUCAGCAAUGUCCUGCAACUUGCACUCGAGGCAGAAAUAAAAACGCCCAUUUCACUCUGUAACUGACUUUAAUCUCCAAAUUUGGCACACUAACUCCUGAGAGGUUAACUGAAUUUUCAGCUCACCAAACAAAAGUCCUUAAAGUGUUUACUGGAGUUUUGCUCAGAUUUUCUCAUGUUUCAUGGAUUUUCUGAACUAGUUCAGCCCGAUGUUGAGUUUUAAACAACUGCCAGGCAUCUGAGAGACAGAAAACUCCUGAACAUGCAGCAGGAGCUCUGCAUUCACCAGGAUCUGGUGAGUUUCAAAGACUGUUCACAGACACCCGCUGAAUGUUGUUUUUGGAUGUUUCUAGACAAUAUUUUGUUGAAAAAAAAACCAAUCCACUCUGAAAAAAAUUAUGAACUCUGCCUCCCUUUUCAAAUGCAAACAUCACAGCUAUCUAUUCUUCUGUGCUGUCUCCUCAUCUACAGUCAGUGCAAACCAGGGGGUCAAGGUAGGGCCUCGUGUGCCGAGUCUGAAGUGAGGAAAUAAAGUUCCAUUGGCACCAGGUUCAUGUUCUGCCUCCAAAGCUCUGCCAGCUGCUCCCGAUCCUUUGUCUGUGUUCUUGGAGUCACACUGCUGGACUGGGAGGAAGAGAUGUCAUUCACAGCUUUAUUAAACAUCUGUAAUGCCUGUUACUUAAUUAAAACCCAGCCUGAUAGAAGCCCAGAUUGCAUCUGCCUGAUAAGAGAUAUUCCACUGUUCUCUUACCGUGGAAACUGUUGUGUUUGACUGAGUUUUCCCUCUAUUUCAGAAAUCAAAUGUUGAAUUGAUGAGCUUCUUCCUCCCCUCUGAUUUCCAAAAGCAAAGAAAAGAACGAUAUUCAUGUUGGCAAGAAUUUCCUGCAGCACUAAAAUCUAUUUCUGCUGUGCUGGCUUUUCUGUAUUUUUCGUGCCUCUCUUUUGUUUCUAACAGAACUGGUUGCUUCCCCAAAAAUCUUAUGAGAACUUUCAGACUGCAAUCAAUUUCCAGUGUCUUUAUGGAAGCAAAGCUCUGUCAUUAUGUUCCCAGAGGGAUGUACCAGUAAACCUGAAUCUGGGGAAUAAAAUUGGAGGAUUACUGUUUCUUGUCAUGUAUUUCAGUUUUAUGGUGUUGAGUACACUGGAAUGGCUUAGUAGGGACAAAAAACAACAGCAAGGAAGGGAAAUAGCUAUUAAUGUCCUAUCAGAGCUUGAUAGGGCUUGAUAGGAAAAAAAAAAACCCCAAACUUGUGAUACCUUCAGCAAUUGUAAUUUCAAUUACUUGCCAGCUAAAGGCAACUUUCACUGCUCCAAGUUAGGAAAUCAUGUAAAUAGACUAAUUAAUACAAUUUGCCUUGUGCUCCACUAAGAGAACAAAACCAAAUAUUUCAUUUUCUAAGAGGAAGAAAAAAAAGUAAACUAAAUAUUAUAAAUAUUCAGUCCGUCUGCAAAGCAAACAUUGCCUUUUUCCUGUCAUGCCCAGCAUUUCUGAGGGAUUCAGCAGGAUUCCCUGGGAUGGCGGUGCCUUGCUUUGGCUCUCCAGCUGCUCCCCAGCGGAUGGCAAUGCUCCUCUGUGAGGAUGAGAGGCAGCUCUCCCAGAGCACCGAGCAACAACGGGGGGCUGCACACGGAAAGGAGGCUUCAUCAUCUUCUAUCUGCAGCCCUUUAAUAUCAAGAGACUUCCACAAAACUUGAAAUGAGUCUUUGAAAUGUUCCGUGCUGUGGAGGUAGGAAGGUACAAUAAAUAAUAUUUCUCUUUUUCCUCGUGUGGAAUGGAGAGAUAAAGCUAUUUAUAAAGCUGUGAAGACUUACAAAUCAUUCCAACAGGUUGUCAUAUGUUAAUGUCAGCGAGAAUUUAAUCACCCAAGGUAAAAAAAUCUAUAUUUUUUUUUCUCCAAUCCUAUCUUAUUUUCAUAACUCUCUCUAUUGACAGAUUCUCUUGUGAUGAUAGAUUAAAGGAAUGCCCAAGACCAGAAAAAUGUAAAAUCAGAAAAAGUGCAGGGAGUGACCCAGUGGGUUGUCUUUAAACUGCGUGGCAGUUUUAUUUUUUUGUUCUUGCAGCAUUUACAGGAUCUAAUGAGGAGUCAUUGCGCUCAGCACUGUGCACCUGCUGAACAAGGAAAUACAGAGCUAAUAAAUGGAUGGACUGUGGAGAUCCAGAUUUAUGUAACAAGCAGCAAAGCUAUCUGUGCAAACUCUUUGUGGAGUUGUUGGUUCAGGAAUAAACAACCUUGCUUAGGAGCAGAACAGUUUUACUCAUCAAUUUAUUAAUAAAGAUUUUUAUGACAGCUGCUUGCCCAAAAAGCUGCUCAGUGAUGGGUUUAAUUUGCCAUCUGGGACUGGAGUGCCCUGAAUUCUUUGGCUUUUAGCCACUCUCACUCCUGUUAAAAGGAGACUCAUCCUUUGGCUUUCCAGGUGAUCCCGUGGUGAGUUUGACUUUAUCCUCUGAACCAAAGAGGAGUUUUAUAGAAAAAUAAAGACAUGCACGACGUUACAUCUGUGAUCGUAUAAUUUUGUAUCUAGCUCUCAGCAAAUCCAGUGCUGGUGAGGUUCUUGUCCAGAGGAGGUUGGACAUCCAGCAUUCCUUGGUGGCCUUUGUCCUUUAUCCUGAGCUCAAAUUGAAGUGGGGAAGGCUCAGCCCAAGCUUGCUGUGCUGCUAUGGUUUUGAGAAGAUACUGAAACAUCCAGUUUUUGACAGCAUCUUGCCAGCUACUUGAAUUUGAAAGAUGAGAAAAGUCUCUGGAGCAUACAGGAAGAGUGAUGAUAGUCAGAAGGAAAUGGAUUGUGUAUUGUUAAAAAACAAGACCUAUCCAAACAUGCAAGAGAAAUGGAAGGAUGACACGGAUGAACAUUCCUGGCUGUGUUUCCUGCAGACCUUGCUCUCCCCUGCACCUUCGUGGCACAGACAAAUAUUCCAGUUCACAGAAUGGGGACAAUUAGAAUGGAAGAAGUUUUUAUGGUUUGACUUGGAGACUUUCAUUGUGCUUUAUUGGAUAAUUAGAGGCAUCAGCAUCUCAGAAGUUAAUGACCUGCCUGAAAUCAUGGGGAUUUUAGAAGAUGGAAUGUUACUAAAUUAAUAAAUAUAAUAAAUAUUAACUAUUUCAUGCAAGUAUAUGGUCUAUCUGAAAAUAAAGCUGAGAACAAUGCUGGGUUUUCACUUCAGAAGUGAUGGUUUCAUAUACAACUACAGCAUUUUUUAUUUAUGAUGUUGAUAUUCAGAACAGAGCUGUGGAUUAUAUUCAUCGUGCCCAUCUGGGCUGUGCUUGCAUGUUAAUUAAAACACAAUUCCCCUUAAUGUGGAGAUGCUCUCUGUCUUCAGGCUGGGGCUCCUUCAGCAGGCUCAGGACAGCCUGAUAAGUGUGGGGAAAUGUUUCAAUGCUUGCUCUUAUGUUUAUGGUGAAGCAGAGAAAGUUUUCCAGCUCCCCAGGUAAUGAGUCUCCAAUACAGGAAACAUUUGGGGAUGAUAUAGGAUCUGCUGAGGAAAAUGGAAAGUAUGAUGAGAGAUGAAAUGAAUUAUAGACAAGUGAAGGAAAUGGGGAAAGUUUUAAGAGAAAUUGUUUUAUAUAGAAUAGUUAUUAUAACACUUAGUCA
Long non-coding RNA from Melospiza melodia melodia, 7507 nucleotides. RefSeq lists it as uncharacterized. The record is from RefSeq and is a predicted model, not a curated record. NCBI's taxonomy places the organism in Eukaryota, Metazoa, Chordata, Aves, Passeriformes, Passerellidae. The transcript is spliced from 3 exons.